UACCACGCAGUGAGCACAAAGCGAACUAUUCUUUCGCCUUUUACUAAAGAAUACCAUGUGCUCGCUGCAUUAAGUGGCAUACGUUUAUUUUUGACUUGAGUUAUUGACUAUAUAG
This is a small nuclear RNA of Amaranthus tricolor (Joseph's coat), 115 nucleotides long. RefSeq annotates it as U5 spliceosomal RNA. The record is from RefSeq and is a predicted model, not a curated record. Lineage: Eukaryota; Viridiplantae; Streptophyta; Magnoliopsida; Caryophyllales; Amaranthaceae. The transcript has a single exon.